This 321-nucleotide ribosomal RNA is filed under the name Triticum aestivum (bread wheat). RNAcentral describes it as "partial small subunit ribosomal RNA". Lineage: Eukaryota; Viridiplantae; Streptophyta; Magnoliopsida; Poales; Poaceae. The record is from RNAcentral.
AUGGAUUGGAACCCACAAAUCUUAUGUUGGAACGUGAGGGGUCUUAAUAACCCCGCCAAAAGAAAUGCUGUUAGAGAAUUUGUGGUCGCGGCCAAGGUGAAUCUUGUAUGCCUUCAAGAAACUAAGCUUGAAGCUUUCGAUCCGUACCUGGUAAUGCAAUGCAUCAGGCCAUCUUUCGAUGGUUUUGCUUACUUGCCCGCUUCGGAUACUAGAGGGGGCAUUCUUUUGGGUUGGGAUAGCUCGUUCUUGGAGAUCAAUAACAUCACUCGGGACACUAACUUCCUUUCGGAUCUGGUGCGUAACAAGGAUGGUUCUGAAUGA